AUUGAACGCUGGCGGCAGGCCUAACACAUGCAAGUCGAGCGGAUGAAGGGAGCUUGCUCCUGGAUUCAGCGGCGGACGGGUGAGUAAUGCCUAGGAAUCUGCCUGGUAGUGGGGGAUAACGUCCGGAAACGGGCGCUAAUACCGCAUACGUCCUGAGGGAGAAAGUGGGGGAUCUUCGGACCUCACGCUAUCAGAUGAGCCUAGGUCGGAUUAGCUAGUUGGUGGGGUAAAGGCCUACCAAGGCGACGAUCCGUAACUGGUCUGAGAGGAUGAUCAGUCAAAAUGGAACUGAGAAACGGUCCAGACUCCUACGGGAGGCAGCAGUGGGGAAUAUUGGAAAAUGGGCGAAAGCCUGAUCCAGCCAUGCCGCGUGUGUGAAGAAGGUCUUCGGAUUGUAAAGCACUUUAAGUUGGGAGGAAGGGCAGUAAGUUAAUACCUUGCUGUUUUGACGUUACCAACAGAAUAAGCACCGGCUAACUUCGUG
This 484-nucleotide ribosomal RNA is filed under the name uncultured bacterium. RNAcentral's name for it is "partial 16S ribosomal RNA". It matches the Rfam family "Bacterial small subunit ribosomal RNA", at positions 30 to 507 of the family's 1533-position model. The record is from RNAcentral.